GCGCAGGCGCGGUGCGCGGUCGUGGCGGUCCGCCGAGCCACCCGGGUUCCGGCAUGCCGGGCCGGCGUCUCGUGGCCGCCUUCCCGGUUACCUGCGCACCAUGGAAGGCCUGCGCUGCCUGCCCCGGCUGCUGCCCCGCGUCGUGCAGUCCCGGCGGGCCCUGUGUGCCGCGCGCCUGAGCCCGGCUGCCUGCUGCGGUCGCGCGAUCCCGCUGCGCUCCGGGAGCCCGCCCGGCGCUGCAGGUGGUGUGUACCGGUGUAGAACCUCCGAUGCCUCUCAAGCUACUUUAGCCAGCGUGGCCCAGGUGUUUGCUGUGACAAAGUUUGACAAAGAAGGAAACGUUACUUCUUUCGAGAGGAAGAAAACUGAAUUAUACCAUGAGUUAGCACUCCAGGCCAGAGACUUGAGGUUUCAGCACGUGAUGAGCAUCACUACCAGGAACAACAGGAUUAUCAUGAGGAUGGAGUAUUUGAAGGCUGUGAUAACUCCAGAGUGUCUUCUGAUACUAGACUAUCGGAAUUUAAACCUGGAGCAGUGGCUGUUCCGGGAACUGCCAUCACAGCUGGCUGGAGAUGGUCAGCUCGUCACUUACCCAUUGCCAUUUGAGUUCAGAGCUAUUGAAGCACUCCUGCAGUAUUGGAUCAACACCCUCCAGGGGCAACUUAGCAUCCUGCAGCCACUGAUCCUUGAGACCCUGGAUGCAUUAGUGGACCCCAAGCACUCUUCUGUUGACAGAAGCAAGCUGCAUGUCCUACUCCAGAAUGGCAAAAGUCUCUCUGAGUUAGAAACAGACAUUAAAAUUUUCAAAGAGUCGAUUUUGGAGCUUUUGGAUGACGAGGAGAUGCUGGAAGAACUCUGUCUAACCAAGUGGAGUGACCCCCAGGUCUUUGAAAAGAGCAGUGCUGGGAUUGACCAUGCAGAGGAGAUGGAGCUGCUGCUUGAAAACUACUACCGGUUAGCUGACGACCUUUCCAAUGAGGCUCGGGAGCUUCGGGUCCUGAUUGAUGACUCACAGAGCAUCAUCUUCAUCAAUCUAGACAGCCAUCGCAAUGUGAUGAUGAGGUUAAAUCUACAGCUAACCAUGGGAACCUUCUCUCUUUCCCUCUUUGGACUAAUGGGAGUUGCUUUUGGCAUGAAUUUGGAAUCUUCCCUUGAAGAGGACCAUCGUGUGUUCUGGCUGAUUACAGGAAUUAUGUUUAUGGGGAGUGGCCUCAUCUGGAGGAGGUUGCUUUCGUUCCUCGGCAGACAGCUGGAAGCUCCUUUGCCCCCUAUGAUGGCCUCCUUACCUAAAAAGACCCUUCUGGCAGGCAGAAGGAUGGAAGUGAAAAACAGCCUCAGGCCGGAAGGACUCGGAGCAAGCAGGACUGUCCUGGCAAGCCGCUAACAGCAGCUGGCAGACAAAGAUUUUUAUGCUUCUGAAGCUGUUACCGCUCUCUGGUUGAGAAAAAAGAUGACUGCUGUUUAAAUUAUGUCUGACUUAAAAUACUGUGGCAUUCACAAUACGAAAACACGAUUGCAUCUUCGGAAUUCUGGGAGGCAAAGUGCUUUCUUUGUAAAAGGCCAAAAUCCUGUGUCCUACCAACCUUGAAUACUGUUUUUAUGGGCUUUUUAAAGUAUAGAUUAAUUUAUUGCAAGAUAGACUUAUCUAGAUUCAGUACUGUUAUACAUAUCAGGAAAAGUACAGCUCUGUGCUGAUGGAGCCCAGGAACUUGACAGAGCCUACAGUCCCUGAGCUCACAGGCUGCAGUUGCUCAAAUAGGGAGUCACGUUCCUAUCAACUUCUGACUUGGGAAAGAAAGCUGGCAGAUCUGUUAGCCUUGCAAUGAACUCGGGAAUGUCAGUCCUUGACAACCUUAUUUUCAGACUGGAAGAAGUUCUGACCGACUCAGGCUGACAGGCUGUUUGUGUGACGGGGUCCAGGAGCUGCACUCAGCUUUAUUUCUUGGAAUGGCAUCACUGAAGCUACAUUUGAACUUCAGUGUGAUAACUUGAGUAAUGGCCACAAGAGGUGGUCUCAUGGAGGGAUGGAAUGGGGUCCAGAGACCUGAGCUCUCCACCAAAAGCCCACUUCCAAUCAUUCUAACUUUAUAGUCUGGGACAGUAAGGCAUAAAGCAAUUCCUAUCAUGAAGCCUUGAAAAUGUACAGAGAGAAAGCUGGAAAACCAGUAUGUAAAUGUCUGUUGGUGUCUUGGGGUAAAGAUCACCAAGCUAAACAGUUGCAUCAGUUAGUGUUGUUUUAGUUAUCUCCACUUGAAUUUCUAAGCAUUGUGGGGCUGUUUCUUAGAACCUCAGUUAAUGCUUGGUGGAAGGAAAUUUUAAUCCACCUGUUGAGGAUAAUAUUCAGACUGUCAUGUGCUAAUGUUUUCUCUAUAUCAGGUCAAUAUUCUUCAUAGGUUGAUCUUCAAAAGUGGAUAGCACUGACCUGUUUCUCACAGAAGAGUCGAUGUGUUACAGUGUUAACAGUGUUAGACUUGUCAGUAGGACAAUCCUUCAACUUGAAGAUGUUCCCAUCUCUAUAAGCUCUAUAAGCUCUCUUUACCCGGAGCCUGCUUUCUGCUAUGUUCAGACAUUGAGCCAAAGACAAAUUCUGUGGCUCUCAUCAGUUAGAGCAAAAGCACUGGCACUUGGGGCUAGAGCAUCAGCUCAGGGUUGGGGAAGCCCAUGCCUGGUGUGCACAAGGCCCUGGGUUUAGCCCUGCUGUUUACGUUUGCUGAUUGGCCAUCACAGUGGCAAAACCAUAACCCUUCUGCUGGUAGUGGUCUUCAGAUAGGUUGAACUGCCAGUGACUAGCCAAGCAAAACCAAAUGUCCCUGUGUUCUCUCCCUGCUGUGUCUUGGGCUGUGUGGUGCACACUCAAAACAGCCAGCCUGGAGCAUGCGCGGUGCCUUCUGGGGUGGGUGUGAACUGUCCCUCUUUCUCCCCUGUGGGUCGUCUCAGUGGAGUCCUUUCUCGGUUGGUCCCUUCCUCAUCCUCUGCAGAAGGUUUUCUCUCUGGCUGGUACUGUCACCCAUUUCCUUCUGCUCUUGAUAUCAUUUCCCAGGGUCAGAAGGAACAGUAUCUCCCUUGGCUGACACAGAACCAGCCAGUCACUGUUAGCAGGUCUAAGUGCUGGUGAAUUUCUCCUGAAGCCACACUGGGGAUGGAGCACAGAAUCCACCCUAAAGAAUGGGCCAAGAACAAGCGAAGCCACAGCCCACCUGCCACUGGGUUCCUCACUGGUCCCUUACAGUCACCCUGGGCUCAGGCCACACUCCUGCUCUGUUGAUGGCGCCGUCAGCCUAGCACAGCAAAGCCUCCACCCCUCCUGUGAGACUUAACCACACUGGUGAGACAGCCAGCCCCAGAGACCUGUGUGAGGCACGCACGAGAUGGCUCGUUUCUGUGGUGGUCCUUCCAAAUGGUCGCUGAGGAAGGGCCAGGGUGUGGGCCCCGUGCCCCAUGCCGUCCUCUGUUCUCCCAACGGUGUUUUCACUGGGUACUGUGCCGGCAGUAUGACAAAAUGCCCACGAGAAACAGCUUCAAAGAGGAAAUGUUUAUUCUGGCUCACGGUUUCAGCCAUGUUAGCUCCAGGGUGCUUUACCCUGUUGCUUUGGGGCUGGGGAAGAAGCAGUGCAUCAUGGCAGAGGAGAGCUGUUCAUUUCAUGGCAAUGGGAAACAAACAAGGAAGGAAGGACUUGGGGUCCUGAUACACCCCAAUGGCAUAACUUCCUCCAGCAAGGUCCCACUCCAAAAUUUCCACCCUCCUUCAGUUGGGGGCCAAGCCUUCAACAUGGGAAUUUUGAGGCACAUUUAAGAUCCAAAUAGGACCAGCCAUCACUAACAAGGAUUUUUAAAGGAUCAAUUAUAUAGAGACUGUGUUGAGAGCUAACUGCACCCUUUCUAGGCAAGAGAGAGAUGGGUAUUUAAACAGAAGAGGAGGAAGGGUGAAUUGUUACAGUCCCAAGCACAGGCAGGAAGCUCAGAGAAGAUGCAAAAGCGUUUUUUAGAAGAUGCAAAGUGCCUGCCGCUCCCCAUCAUCCGGUGUCCACACAUAGCUGACCAUAUUUCCAGGUAACUUGGCUGUCAGUAUGUCUGUCCCAGGAGCCCCACCUCUGUCAGGUUUCGCCACAGCUCCUCUGGAGGAAUACUUUGUCCACCCUGGAGUUGACUUGGGCCAAGAGAGGAGGGGCGUAAUAGGAAAGUGGAGUGACCUCUUCAGUCUGAGCCGAGGCUGUAGACGUGAAGUGCCCCGGAGAGCCGGGCUCCCCAAGAACUUCUUCCAGCAGCGACAACUACUUGGUUCUGUAGAAGAUACAACAUAGACAGCAUUCAUGACAAAUUCCCACCCUGAAGCAGACAUGCCGUGCUCUGGAGAUUCCUAGGAAAGCAAUGCUGGCCAGACUCCAACUAUAGCUCCAACUUAGGCCUUUCCCUUUGCUCAUACACCACUUUCUUGAUUUGUAAGUUCUGAAAACCACAGUUGUGGAAGUUGACUCCAGCCUCUGCCUCUUGUAAUUAAAAACAAACAAACAACGGGAAAUACAUGAGUGCGUGCUUAUUCCAGAACCUCAUGUGGUACAAUGUAGACCAUGCAUCUGGAGUGGUAAGGACAAGGGGUUACAAUCACACAGCAUCCCUGCUGCCUAAUGUUUUCAGGCCUGUCUUCCAGAAUUUUUUUCAAAAUCUGCUGCAGGUUGUGAAACAUUUUAGUAAAGGCAAAAUCUUCACAGUUUGCAGUUAAAUUUGAUUUGGGAGAGUUGCCAAAAGUUACUUUAAAUCAUUACCGGUAAGUGAAGUGUGGCUGGUCAUGCUGGCGGCUAGCAUUUUAGAGGAAGCAGGAUAUGGCAUUGAUCUUGUUGGUUUCAUUUUAACACAACAAUCCCAAAAUGCUGAUAAUGGCAGCACUGUACUGAGCCCUUACUAUGUGUCAGAUUCUAGAUGGAGCUCUUCCUGUCACAUCCUAAUACCCCAGUGUUGGCAAAAGAGAAAAUCUUUUCAGUAACAAAUGGUAAUUCUUCUCCCUUAUUUAUGUAAUUACUAGUUUAUUAAAUGUGCUUUUACUUUGGCUAUAUUCUAAGUCUCCAUUUCCUGGGCAAAGCAUGCGCCUCCCUAAAGUUAACCCUUCCUGGCUGCCCACCGUCUCCCUAGUCUAACCAUCUCACAUGCCCCCUCAAGGCCCAUAGGUUCUGCAAGGCCUCCUAGACCUGGCCAGCAUGGACAGCCACUGUCUUUAGCCCUGGAUCAUUGUACAUUGAUGUCAAAGGUCUUGGCUGCUUUUUGUCCUUCCACCUACACUGUGAGCGGGAGACGAGGCCAUGUCUCACUGUUCCAUCUACGUCUCGGCUGCCCAGGGAAGCACCCCAGUUAAAGGUUCUGCUGAGGCUCACCACAUGACAUGGGCAGUCUUAAGAAAGCACAGAGACAGUGGCAGUGUUGUUCCUUAGGUAUGUCUCCAGACUGCCAAUCCCACAAGGCUCAUGUGUCCUAGGAAGGAAACCUGACUUGAGAGUCCUAAUUCAGGUCUCGGGGAAAGGCCACUCUGAUGUUUUAUGCUCACUGAGCCUUAAUGCCCUGUCUCAGGGUGAGUCAGGAAAGGGAGGGAUGUUAGUACUGACACAGGUGGACUGCAGUUAGGCUAACAUGUAGAGAUGCACAGACCAGAAUUAACUGUGAAGUACUUUCAUCUGGCCUUUAUCACCACUGCCCUUGGUCGGUGUUCUUGAUAAUGUCUUAAUUUUUUGAAGAUGCAUAAAAUUGUAAAUAAAAGCCCCGUGUAUCCUCUGGAGAAUCCUCCCGUAAGUUUAGUAAUUGCUGUUUCUAGUAGCUAACCCUAUUCAUCAGCCUUGCUGUGUCAGCGAGAACACUUGACCAGCAGAGGGCAGUUUCACCAUGAGUCUCAAGCAGGCCCUGCAUCCCAGCACCUCCCAAGCCUUCCCAGACUGCUGUCUUCCAACACUUAGGACUCCUGCUCAUUCUGCCUGUAGUCCUAUGCCAGUCUCACGGACCUGCCUUCCCUGUGUGUCUUCAAGAACAGUGACUGUCUCGUCUCUGUAUUUUAUAACCUAGCACAAUGCUGUGACACCAAAUCCUGAAGUGAAUGAACCGUUUAGUGGUUUAGUUUGGUUUCUUUGUUUUGAGGCAGGGUCUCAUUCUAACCCAGGCUAGCCUGGCCUCAAACUCCUACCUCAGCUUCUCAUGUGCUGGGAUUACCGGCAUGAGCUACCUACCACACCUGGCUCUGUAGAGUUAUAUAUUAAGGUAUAUUUCUUAAUUCUAUAUUUAUUAAAAUGUAAUGUUAAAUGUAUGUAUCCUCUAGCAGUCCCACUGCUGUGUUUCUCACAAGGAUAUUUGCACAAUUAUGUAAAAAAAUAGUUAUAAGAAUGCUCUAAACAGCAUUGUCUGUAAUAGUUUUAAAAAAUGGAGAUAAUGUAUGUAUGGGAAUGUAAUUGAACUGAAUUAUGGAAUGUCCAGAGAAUAAAAUAUUGUGUGACUCCUGGGAA
Molecule: RNA transcript, 6479 nt
Organism: Peromyscus californicus insignis
Lineage: Eukaryota; Metazoa; Chordata; Mammalia; Rodentia; Cricetidae
Gene: Mrs2
Gene name: magnesium transporter MRS2
Exons: 12
Source: RefSeq, a predicted model, not a curated record